This 427-nucleotide ribosomal RNA is filed under the name uncultured bacterium. RNAcentral describes it as "partial 16S ribosomal RNA". It matches the Rfam family "Bacterial small subunit ribosomal RNA", at positions 355 to 774 of the family's 1533-position model. The record is from RNAcentral.
UGGGGAAUAUUGCACAAUGGGCGCAAGCCUGAUGCAGCCAUGCCGCGUGUAUGAAGAAGGCCUUCGGGUUGUAAAGUACUUUCAGCGGGGAGGAAGGUGUUGUGGUUAAUAACCACAGCAAUUGACGUUACCCGCAGAAGAAGCACCGGCUAACUCCGUGCCAGCAGCCGCGGUAAUACGGAGGGUGCAAGCGGUAAUCGGAAUUACUGGGCGUAAAGCGCACGCAGGCGGUCUGUCAAGUUGGAUGUGAAAUCCCCGGGCUCAACCUGGGAACUGCAUCCGAAACUGGCAGGCUUGAGUCUUGUAGAGGGGGGUAGAAUUCCAGGUGUAGCGGUGAAAUGCGUAGAGAUCUGGAGGAAUACCGGUGGCGAAGGCGGCCCCCUGGACAAAGACUGACGCUCAGGUGCGAAAGCGUGGGGAGCAAACA